This 494-nucleotide ribosomal RNA is filed under the name soil fungal sp. DM234. RNAcentral describes it as "eukaryotic LSU rRNA". It matches the Rfam family "Eukaryotic large subunit ribosomal RNA", at positions 143 to 652 of the family's 3401-position model. Lineage: Eukaryota; Fungi. The record is from RNAcentral.
UUGUAAUUUGCAGAGGAUGCUUCGGGAGUGGCCCCCAUCUAAGUGCCCUGGAACGGGCCGUCAUAGAGGGUGAGAAUCCCGUCUGGGAUGGGGUGUCCACGCCCGUGUGAAGCUCCUUCGACGAGUCGAGUUGUUUGGGAAUGCAGCUCUAAAUGGGUGGUAAAUUUCAUCUAAAGCUAAAUACUGGCCGGAGACCGAUAGCGCACAAGUAGAGUGAUCGAAAGAUGAAAAGCACUUUGAAAAGAGAGUUAAACAGCACGUGAAAUUGUUGAAAGGGAAGCGCUUGCGACCAGACUCGCCCACGGGGUUCAGCCGGCAUUCGUGCCGGUGUACUUCCCCGCGGGCGGGCCAGCGUCGGUUUGGGCGGCCGGUCAAAGGCCCUCGGAAUGUAACGCCCCCCGGGGCGUCUUAUAGCCGAGGGUGCCAUGCGGCCAGCCCGGACCGAGGAACGCGCUUCGGCUCGGACGCUGGCAUAAUGGUCGUAAGCGACCCGU